Molecule: ribosomal RNA, 468 nt
Filed under: uncultured bacterium
Lineage: Bacteria
Description: partial 16S ribosomal RNA
Rfam family: Bacterial small subunit ribosomal RNA
Source: RNAcentral
GACGAACGCUGGCGGCGUGCUUAACACAUGCAAGUCGAACGGAAAGGCCCUGCUUUUGUGGGGUGCUCGAGUGGCGAACGGGUGAGUAACACGUGAGUAACCUGCCCUUGACUUUGGGAUAACUUCAGGAAACUGGGGCUAAUACCGGAUAGGAGCUCCUGCUGCAUGGUGGGGGUUGGAAAGUUUCGGCGGUUUGGGAUGGACUCGCGGCUUAUCAGCUUGUUGGUGGGGUAGUGGCUUACCAAGGCUUUGACGGGUAGCCGGCCUGAGAGGGUGACCGGCCACAUUGGGACUGAGAUACGGCCCAGACUCCUACGGGAGGCAGCAGUGGGAAAUAUUGCACAAUGGGCGGAAGCCUGAUGCAGCAACGCCGCGUGCGGGAUGACGGCCUUCGGGUUGUAAACCGCUUUCGCCUGUGACGAAGCGUGAGUGACGGUAAUGGGUAAAGAAGCACCGGCUAACUACGUG